UACGUAGGUGGCUAGCGUUGUCCGGAAUCAUUGGGCGUAAAGAGCGUGUAGGCGGCCCGGUAAGUCCGCUGUGAAAGUCGGGGGCUCAACCCUCGAAUGCCGGUGGAUACUGUCGGGCUAGAGUGCGGAAGAGGCGAGUGGAAUUCCUGGUGUAGCGGUGAAAUGCGCAGAUAUCAGGAGGAACACCAAUUGCGAAGGCAGCUCGCUGGGACGUAACUGACGCUGAGACGCGAAAGCGUGGGGAGCAAACAGG
RNAcentral lists this ribosomal RNA (253 nucleotides) under uncultured bacterium. RNAcentral describes it as "partial 16S ribosomal RNA". It matches the Rfam family "Bacterial small subunit ribosomal RNA", at positions 524 to 776 of the family's 1533-position model. The record is from RNAcentral.